AGGACGAACGCUGGCGGCGUGCUUAACACAUGCAAGUCGAGCGGUAAGGCCUUUCGGGGUACACGAGCGGCGAACGGGUGAGUAACACGUGGGUGAUCUGCCCUGCACUUCGGGAUAAGCCUGGGAAACUGGGUCUAAUACCGGAUAUGACCUCCUAUCGCAUGGUGGGUGGUGGAAAGAUUUAUCGGUGCAGGAUGGGCCCGCGGCCUAUCAGC
Molecule: ribosomal RNA, 215 nt
Filed under: uncultured soil bacterium
Lineage: Bacteria
Description: partial 16S ribosomal RNA
Rfam family: Bacterial small subunit ribosomal RNA
Source: RNAcentral